Molecule: small nuclear RNA, 107 nt
Filed under: Procavia capensis (Cape rock hyrax)
Lineage: Eukaryota; Metazoa; Chordata; Mammalia; Hyracoidea; Procaviidae
Source: RNAcentral
GUGCUCACUUCAGCAGCACAUACACUACAACUGAAAUGCUACAGAGAACAUUAGCAUGGCCCCUACACAGGGUUGACAAGCAAAUUUGUGAGGUGUUUCGUAUUUUU